RNAcentral lists this ribosomal RNA (569 nucleotides) under uncultured bacterium. RNAcentral describes it as "bacterial SSU rRNA". It matches the Rfam family "Bacterial small subunit ribosomal RNA", at positions 33 to 595 of the family's 1533-position model. The record is from RNAcentral.
ACGCUGGCGGCAGGCCUAACACAUGCAAGUCGAGCGGUAGAGAGAAGCUUGCUUCUCUUGAGAGCGGCGGACGGGUGAGUAAUGCCUAGGAAUCUGCCUGGUAGUGGGGGAUAACGUUCGGAAACGGACGCUAAUACCGCAUACGUCCUACGGGAGAAAGCAGGGGACCUUCGGGCCUUGCGCUAUCAGAUGAGCCUAGGUCGGAUUAGCUAGUUGGUGAGGUAAUGGCUCACCGAGGCGACGAUCCGUAACUGGUCUGAGAGGAUGAUCAGUCACACUGGAACUGAGACACGGUCCAGACUCCUACGGGAGGCAGCAGUGGGGAAUAUUGGACGAUGGGCGAAAGCCUGAUCCAGCCAUGCCGCGUGUGUGAAGAAGGUCUUCGGAUUGUAAAGCACUUUAAGUUGGGAGGAAGGGUUGUAGAUUAAUACUCUGCAAUUUUGACGUUACCGACAGAAUAAGCACCGGCUAACUCUGUGCCAGCAGCCGCGGUAAUACAGAGGGGUGCAAGCGUUAAUCGGAAUUACUGGGGCGUAAAGCGCGCGUAGGUGGUUUGUUAAGUUGGAUGU